UAUUUAAUGGCUAACAAAUAAAAAAAAAUGAAACACAAAAGAUUAAUACAACUAUGAGCUUACGAAAUUAUUAAUUAAGUUAAAUAUUGCUUACCAACUUUCCUUUAAAAAGGUCAUAAACCUCCUCGGGAAGCCAUAUUCUGCUGUUAGCGUACUCUUCCCGUAUGACAUUUUCUCCCAUUUUUCUUAUCAUAUUAUGCAUCACAAAUAUAUUACUUAUGUUGAUGGAUAAAAGAGAUUUUUCAACAAGGUAAUCUAUUAGAAAACCACGACUCGGGUCUCUCAGUACUGAUUCCACACGAAAAUGAAAAUUAAAACCACCACAGUAUGCAAUAUCUAGAAAUGCAAUAUCUAGAAAUAAUUCCUUCUCAUCUUUGUCCAGAGCAUCAAAACUAAGCCUAAGCUUUCCUAGAAUAUCCUUGUGAGGGAUUCUCUUCAGCCGAUCAAUUAUGUGUCUCCAGUGCUUUUUGUCUCGUCCGUAAAAUGAAGAACCCAAAACUUUAAGAGCUAAAGGGAGUCCACCAGCAUGCUCCACCACUUGUCUUGAAAGUUCCAUAAAAUCUUCUUUUGGUGAUUUUUCUCUAAAAGCAUGCCUACUGAACAAUUCAAGUGCUUCAUCCUCAGAUAAUAGUUGGACUUCAUACACGUUAUCCCCAACGUGACUUAUUAACAAGUGCUUGUCUCUUGCUGUUAAAAUAAUUCUGCUACCCCUACCAAACCAUUCUGGCUCUCCAACCAAAAAUUCCAACUGUUCUUGAUGGUUUACAUCAUCGAUGGUGAACAGAACUUUCUUCCAGCGAAGCAUAUUCUUUAAAAUAUUCAUCCCUUCAUGCUCACUAGUUAGAGUCAAUUUUUCACCCAAGAGCUUGCAAAUGACGACUUGUUGUAGCCAUGUUAGUCCCUUUUUCUGAUGAAGUUUUCCAACAUCACCAAGAAAACAAUCAGCUUCAAAUUGAUGGCGGUAUCUUUGAUGUAGAACAUUUGCAAUUUCUGUUUUGCCGAUGCCGCCCAUACCCCAAAUACCAAUAGAGCGAACAUCAUUUGAUUCCAUAUCUAAUAAUGAGGUUACUUUAUCAACCUGAGAUUUCAUACCCACUAAGUUUUCCGGGAAAGGUGAAAUAAUUUGAAGUGACUUAGGAAAUAUGUCAUCAACUAGUUUCUUGACGCACUCAGCCUCAUCCCUACAUUACAGUGGAAAAUAAACUCAAAGUAAAUAAAUAGAAAAGCAAAGACUUGUCAUAGACUAAUAUCUAAAACAAACACAUAAUAAUGUCAAUUAUGAAUUAUUACAUUUUUAAAUCUAAUUACAUCAUCAAACAAUCAUAUACGUCUCUGUUUUCCUUUUUCGGUAAAAGUAUAGCUGAUGAUUGUGUGGAAUUGUAGCUAAAAGUUUGGUCCUUUUCGCUCUUGAUAAAGAGAAACCGGAAAAAAAGAAGAAAGCUUACUUGAAAUUAAGUAAAUGAUAGCCUGAUAUUUUCCCUGCCUCCACAAAUGCACCCCUCCAUCUCUGAACCUUCUCCAUAUCAUCUUUGCAUUUUUCCUCAUGUUGUAAAAAUGAAUCAGCAAAAGGGGGAUGUUGAUGGCACACAUCUGAUUGACUCACAUCAUAGAAGACUGGAAUCACAAUCUGCUCCAAUUCCUUUUUACACUUUAUGAUGUGUGCAAGCUCCUUUAAGCACCAUCUUGACGAUGCAUAGCUUUUGGAAAAUAUCACUAUAGCAAAUUUAGACUCUUGUAUGGCUUUCAAAAGUUCAUCAGAAAUUGAUUUUCCCGUUUCUAGUCGCUCAUCAUCUUUAAAAGUGCGGAUUCCUCUUAGUUCCAAAGAAUUAUAGAGAUGACUCACAAAGUUUCUACGUGUAUCUUCACCUCUAAAACUCAAAAAGACAUCGUACUUGCAAAUUUUGGAAGAUGAAGCAUGAGACAUUGUUGAAGAAUAUUGCUAAAGACUAACAGGCAAGUUCUCAGCACAACUGGCAAAUUUAUUUCUCAGCCAUAAUUUGGUGUAUGGGGAUACUUCCAUUCAUCUUCCUAUCUGUUACUAUAUAGAAUUAAAACAACCUGGUCAACAAGAAAGAAAAGACAAAGCUUAAUAUUAAAGAAUAAGGUUUCACCUACUUCACUAUUCCUAGGGAACUUCUUGUCAUCUUCCUAAUCCAUGAUUGUGAGAAAUUAAAGAGUAUAAAAAGACGCAACUUGGGCCGCCUUAGACCAAAAAAGGGAAGAAAAAACUUGUUAUCAUCUUCCUAAUUCAUUUGUACUACUUUUAAAAUAUUUUAUUGUAAAGACUUUACCUUUUUUUCAUUAUUCCAGACCUAUAUAGGAAACUACUUAUCAUCUUCCUAAUUCAUGACAUAAAAAUGUACACUUUUACAGUAUUGCACUGAUAAAUUAAACAAAUGAGCACCAAAUUGAUACCUUUCAGUAAAUUGAUAUAAAUUCGUUGCCCUACCUGCGAAAUUGAACAAAAUUUUCGUAGCAAUUUAGAAAAAAACACACAAAAAGCAGAAAAGAAAGACAAACCUCAUCAAAGAUAUUAAGCAGAAAUGAAGAGAACCACAAUCUAACAGCUGAUUGUUAAGUGCUAAAGGCAAAAUACUUUUUAAGCCCAAAAAAGAGAAAAUGGGUAUGUACAAGCAACAAAUGAAAGGAUCCUUGAAGCUCAAAUAUAGAGGGAUGUUGUUAUACUUCAAAGAAUAUUUUCUUUUAGGGUCAGAUUUGCAGACCAAUGUAACUUCUAAUUUUGUGUGCAGUAUAACAGGACCGUAACAUAUCCAAAAACCCAUGAAUUUAUAGGUAUACCAAGAUGGGUUCAGAUCAAUUGACAUCUCUUUUUGAUUUAUAAACCGAUUAUAAUCUAACAGCUCUGGAAUUCUGACUCCGGAAAAAGAAAUGAGAAAACAACCCCUUAGGUAGAAGUCACACUGCAUGUAAUAUAAAUUAUUAUUACUAAUAGAAGUCAAUUUGAUGAGAAUAUUCAACAUUCAUAUAUGAGAUAAAAACCUGGAUGCAUGUCCUGCGAAAAUGCUGUAGGAACACAUUAGCUUGUUCACUUGAGACAGUUUCACAUUCGGAUAUUGCAAGCCUACACAGCUUAGGGUAAUGAAUUACGAGAUCUCUGAUGCUCAUUAAGGCUAAAUGAUAAUCUGCAAAUAGCUCCCUUAGCUUUCCUGGCAGUCCAUUAAAUUCUGACAGAAUUCAAGUGACGCCACUUGAUGCAAAUCACCAAUGAUUUCUGGAAGCUUUUCUAGUCUUUUGCACCCUCUGGGCUCUGAGUAAAAGACGUUGCAGAUUCAUCAAAUUACAGAGGCUGUCUGGUAGACUUACAAGAUCUUCACAACCUGUCAGAUUUAGCUCAGUGAGGCCGCUCAUAUUUCUAGUGAACGAAGGCAUUUCUCUUAUCCCAGUAGAAUUCAGAGUCAGUUGUAUCAAGCAAUGCAUAUCUCCGUUGAUUUCUGGAAAUGCAUUAUAGAGAUGACUCACAAAGGUUCUACGUGUAUCUUUGUGACAUAACUUGACCCUUAGACCAAAAAAGGAAAAGAAAAAACUAGAAGUCAUUAUAUUUUUGCUGAUUUUAUUGUAAAGACUAGACUUUACCUUUUUUCAUUAUUCCAAGCCUCUGUAGAAAACUUGUUAUCAUCUUUCUAAUUCAUGACAUAUCAUUGUACCCUUUUGCAGUAUUGCAGUGACAAAUUAAACAAAUGAGUAGCAAAUUGGGGACAAAUAUAAGUUUUCCCCAUUUUAACUUAAUCAUACCUUCCUGUAAAUGAUAUAAAUUUGUUGCCCUACCUGAGGAAUUGUCCAGAAAUUGAAGAAAAAUUUCAUAAUAAUUUAGAAGAAAAAGCAGAAAAGAAUGACUGACCUGAGAGAACCACACCAAAAGCUAACUAUUGAGGUAUAUAAGAGCCUGUUUGGAUUCAGAAUAGUUUUAAAGUGUUUAUGUAAAUUUAAAAAGAAAUAGGCUUCAAUCAGCUUAUUGAGCUACAGAAGUUUUCUCAACUCACAAUGGAGCAUCCAGUUUUUAUAUUUACAUUAUAUAUACAAAUUCUAUGGAACAAUAUCACCGUAUACUUGAGAGUCAAUUAGCAGCAAACACAUCAUAAACAGAAAUACUACUUCUACUUUUUAUGGCUAAACAGAUCUUAUAUAAGCCCAAUAUCAGCUUCACAAAUGACAUACUAAAAUCUCAUACCCCUUCCAAUAGGACUCAAUUAUUUUUAAUAGCAUUAAUUUUCAAAUUAAAAAUGUCUCUCCCAAUCCAAGUUACCUUUUACAUAUAAAGGGAUCUUAGGAAGAUGGUGUGUACGUAACUUUACCCUUACCUAGUUAAGGUAGAGAAGUUGUUUCCCACUCAAACACCAACAUUAUAAAUAAAAAUUUCAUCCAUCUAUCAUCGAUACAAAUUCCUGGUAUAUAAUUAAUUUUCAUUUGAGAAGGGUACAUACAAAUUGUACCAACAAUGUAGAACAUACACUUUCCAUACCAUUUUAUGAUACAUGUUUGGUUGAAUACAAAAUUUAAGAAAGACAGAAAAAUAUUUGAAAAUUGUGAUGUAAAACAAGUCAUAAACAGACCUUUGCAUCAUUUGGGUUCUUCCCUUCUUUAUUGUCAGAAGCAUACCACAAUGUUUCAAACGGUAUAUAGGCACAACAAAUGAAAGGAUACUCGAACCUCGAAUAUUCAGGGAUGUAGUUCUACUCCAAGGAAUAUUUUCUUUCAGGGUCAGACUUGCAGACCAAUGUAGCUUCUAAUCUUGCGUCCAGUCUAGUAGGACCGUAACUUAUCAAAAAACCCAUGAAUUUAUCAGUAUACCAAAAUGGGUUCAGCUUAAGACAACAAAUUACGAGAUUUUUGCUGCUCUUCAAAGUUAGAUGAUAAUCAGCAAAUAGCUCCCUUAAAUUUGGGGGUAGCUCUCCUGGCAGUUCAUUAAGAUUCUGACAGAAUUAUACGUUCAGAUGCUGAAGGUGUAAGAGUCCUUUGAAGCUUUUUGGUAAACAAGAAAUAUUGCUUCCACUUACAUUCAAAUUUUCCAAAGAGUGCAAAGAUCCUAAAUCCUCAGGAAGUCCACUCAAUAUGUUGUGAUUAUUAAGAUCAUGUGAUGUCAAGGAGGAUAAACCUGAUACUUGAUUCAAGACAAAACUUGAGGAAUGUUGAAAUUGUUGUUCAUGUGAGAAUCGUAACUUCCACAGUUUGCCAAGCUUAGUGAUGGAGGGAGGUGGUUGGGAGAUUGCAGUUUCGCUCGCAUCAAGUAUAUGUAAAUCUUGCAAAUCACCAAUGUUUUCUGGAAGCUUCUCUAGCUUGUUGCACCCGUCGAGGUAAAGACAUCGAAGUUUCAUCAAAUUGCAGAUAUUCGAGGUCUCCUAGAUGCCCAAUGGAUGAAGGCACUUCUCUUAUCCCAGUAGAAUUCAGAGUCAGCUGUGUCAAGUAAUGCAUAUCUCCAUUGAUUUCUGGAAAUGUAUCUAAUUUUGGGGAAUUAGAUAUCUUGAGCUUUUGAAGGGAUUUCAUCUGAAUCGAGCUUGGAAGCUUCUUUAAGUUCUCACAUCCAUCUAUCUCUAACAAACGGAGCUUCUUUUGAACUCCAAGAGAUAUGGGGAGCUUUACCAAUCCAGAACAUCGGUAUAUACCAAGACAUCCCAAUUGCUGUGAUUCAAAGAGGUUGUUUGGCAGUGUUGCAAAUUUAUUGAAACCUGAAAUACUGAGAUCUCUAAGAUUUUGAAUGGCGUCCAGAAUACUCUCAAGAACUUCACACUCAGUCAAUUGCAAAUUUCUAAGGCUGCUGAAAGAUGGAGGUAAGCUUCUUAUCCACGGGUAUUUUACAUAGAGUAUUGAUAAGCGCGGCAUAUCUCCACAGAUUUCUGGAAAUUCUUCUAAGCUUGUGCAUUCAAGGAGAUUGAGAGUCUCAAGAGAUCCCACGCAGACAAAUUUUGGAAUCUUCUUAAGUUUGCGAUAACCUUCCAAACUCAAAUAAGUAAGCAGUCUGCAAUGUCCAAAUGAGGAAUGGACCUCUUCCAAAUUCACACACCGUGUAAAUUUAGUGUCUCUAAGUUUGGCAUAUCACCAAAAUUAGGGGUUUUUCUUAACUCACAGCUGUCCAUGAGAUCCAAAUGCUUCAAGUUGCUCAAUUUCUGUUUCCAAAAAAAAAAAAGAACAGUGAGCUUAACUAGUACUCCUAAUAGAAAUAUUUUGUAGGAAAAAAAAAUAAAGAGAAGAUAAGGUUGUUAUGAUCAUUAAAGGCGGUAGCCAAUCUGGAAAAGAACUUUUGAGAUACAUAAUUGUCUUAAAAUCCAAAUAUAUAUUUCUUUUCUUUUAAUUUCAUAAUGAAAAUAAAACCUCUUUAAACCUAGAAAUAAUUCCUUCUCAUCUUUGUCCAGACAAUCAAAACUAAGCCUAAGCUUUCCUAAAAUAUCCUUGUGAGGGAUUCUCUUCAGCCGAUCAAUUAUGUGUCUCCAGUGCUUUUUGUCUCGUCCGUAAAAUGAAGAACCCAAAACUUUAAGAGCUAAAGGGAGUCCACCAGCAUGGUGCACCACUUGUCUUGAAAGUUCCAUAAAAUCUUCUUUUGGUGAUUUUUCUCUAAAAGCAUGACUACUGAACAAUUCAAGUGCUUCAUCCUCCGAUAAUAGUUGGACUUCAUACACGUUAUCCCCAACGUGACUGAUUAACAGGUGCUUGUCUCUUGCCGUUAAAAUAAUUCUGCUACCCCUACCAAACCACUCUGUCCCUCCAACUAAAAAUUCCCACUGUUCUUGAUGGUUUACAUCAUCAAGGAUGAACAGAACUUUCUUCCAGCGAAGCAUAUUCUUUUAAAUAUUCAUCCCUUCAUGCUCACUAGUUAGAGUCAAUUUUUCACCCAAGAGCUUGCAAAUGACAACUUGUUGUAGCCAUGUUAGUCCAUUUUUCUGAUGAAGUUUUCCAACAUCACCAAGAAAACAAUCAGCUUCACAUCGAUGGCGGUAUCUUUGAUGUAGAAUAUUUGCAAUUUCUGUCUUGCCGAUGCCGCCCAUACCCCAAAUGCCGAUGGAGCAAACAUCAUUUGAUUCCAUAUCUAAUAAUGAGGUUACUUUCUCAACCUGAGAUUUUUUACCCACUAAACUUUCCAGGAAAGGUGAAAUAAUUUGAAGUGACUUGGGAAAUAUGACAUCAACUAACUUCUUGAUGCACUCAGCCUCAUCCCUACAUUACAGUGAAAAUACUCUCAGAGUAAAUAAAUAGAAAAGGAAAGACUUGUCAUAGAUUAAUAUCUAAAGCAAACACAUAAUAAUGUCACAAAGGUUGUUCCCCCGCUCUCCCCCCCCCCCCUGGUGUCAUAAGGUAGCUUAAAUCAACUAUUAUGAAUUAUAACAUUUUAAAAUCUAAUUACAUCAUCAAACAACCAGAUAGCUAAAAGUUUGGUCCUUUUUCCUCUUGAUAAAGAGAAACCCGAAGAAAAGAAGAAGAUCACUUACUUGAAAUUUUGUAAAUGAUACCCCGAUAUUUUCCCAGCCUCCGCAAAUGCACCCGUCCAUCUCUGAACCUUCUCCAUAUCAUCUUUGCAUUUUUCCUCAUGUUGUAAAAAUGAAUCAGCAAAAGGGGGAUGUUGAUGGCACACAUCUGAUUGACUCACAUCAUAGAAGACUGGAAUCACAAUCUGCUCCAAUUCCUUUUUACACUUUAUGAUGUGUGCAAGCUCCUCUAAACACCAUCUUGACGAUGCAUAGCUUUUUGAAAAUAUCACUAUAGCAAAUUUAGACUCUUGUAUGGCUUUCAAAAGUUCAUCAGAAAUUGAUUUUCCCGUUUCUAGUCGCUCAUCAUCUUUAAAAGUGCGGAUCCCUCUUUGUUCCAAAGCAUUAUAGAGAUGACUCACAAAGUUUCUACAUGUAUCUUCACCUCUAAAACUCAAAAAGACAUCGUACUUGCAAAUUUUGGAAGAAGAAGCAUGAGACAUUGUUGAAGGAUAUAAGACUAACAGGUAACUUCUCAGCCCAACUAGCAACAUUAUUUCUCAGCUAUGUGAAUGCAUAAUUUGGUCAAAAAGAGUGAAACAGUUGAGUUGACCAACCUGGUCAAAAAGAAAGAAAAGACAGACAAAUUUCCAGUUUAAUAAUAAAGAACAAGACUUCACCAUUUUCACUAUUCCUAGUCUUUAUGAGGAACUUGUUAUCAUCUUCCUAUUUCAACUUAUAAAAUGUUAACUUUUUCAUUACUGUGAGAAAUUAAAGAGUAUAAAAACAGACAAGAAGACUUACACCAAAAAAGGCAAAGAAAAAACUAAAGUCAUUACAUUUUUACUGAUAUUAUUGUAAAGACUUUACCUUUUUCAUUAUUCCAAACCUCUGUAGGAAACUUGUUAUCAUCUUCCUAAUUCAUGACAUAUAAUUGUACUCUUUUUCAGUAUUGCACUGACAAAUUAAACUAAUGAGCACCAAAUUGGGGCACAAAUUUAAAUCUUAACUUAAUCAUACCUUUCGGAAAAUUGAUAUAAAUUCGUCGCCCUAACUGAGAAAUUGCCCAGAAAUUGAAGAAAAAAAUCGUAAUAAUUUAGAAAAAAACACACAAAAAGCAGAAAAGAAAACUGACCACAUCAAAGAUAUAAGCAGAAAAGAAGAGAACCGCACUCUUAACUAUUGAGGUUUAUAAGAGCUUAUUUGGUCAGAUAUAUCAUUUUUAGGUUUAUCUUUAUCAAGAGGAAAAUGGAAUAAAGAUUCUUGACAAGCUGACGGAGUAUGUCGGAUUUUAGCGUUUUCUUUAAUAGUGUUUAUUAGCAAUAAACAAGCUUUUUUUUUUACUCGUAUUGAAGAUGCGUUUUUUUCUAAAAUGAUCCGUAUUGAGUUAAAUUAAAAAUUAGAAAGCAAGUAUUUGUGUUAAAUCAAGAUAGCCGGGAUGAUAUGAAAAAAACAAAAAUACAUGAUAUUAUUUAAUUUAAUUGAAUGUUUAAACAAGAAAAUUGAAGCACUUCCGUCAGUUAUUAUUCAUGCAAAAAUACAUUAAAAAAAAUCUCAAAAAAAAAUCAAUGUUCAUACAUUAAUUUUUAUUUUUUUUAAAAGGAAAACUAACGAACACAAGUUAUAUGGACAAACACCAACUAAAAAUCGCAUACCCUUUCCCAUAGGCAGUGGCGGAGGCAGGAUUUCCAUCGAGGGGGUUCAAAAAGAUAAGUAAGCACACUAUUAGUAUCCAUAUAAGCGGGGCGGGUCAAAUAUAAAUGGGUCGGAUCAGAUAUAAGCAACUAAAAAAAAUUCAACUCUACCUCAACACAAACAAUAAAAUCGAGUAAUCAUAUGUUUGACGAGAUUUGUAUUUUUUAAAACUAUAAUUAUGGGUCUUGUCUCUGUCAUUGUUGUAUACAAACGUUAUUUAAUUUUUGAAACUAACUAAGGAAUACUUCUAAAUCCGAUCAUACUGUAGCAAUAAAAUUUGCGUCGAUAAAAUAAUUAUCAAGGUUGAAAAAUAUCGCGACAAUUGUAUUUAUUUAUAAAUUUUAAAUGAUUACUCUUAUUUAUUUAAUCUUACUUAUAAUUAUAUUAAUUCUUAAUCAAAUAUAAAUUAAAUGUUUUCUUAAAAUGAGUAUGAAAGAAUGUAUUUUUAAUUUUAAUUAUGACAACAACGUUUAUAAGUUUUACUUAAUUUUAUAAAAAUGGAAAAUUAAAUUUAUUUUUUUAAUAUCUAAUAAAUAGUAUAAAUCUCAAUAGGUUUUCAAACAAAACAAAAAUUUUCAUUUAUUUAGAAAAUUAAAUGAAAAUCGGCUGAAAUAUGGGGGAAAAAAAUGCUGUUACAGGGAGUCGAACCUGCGACCCAGCACUUAUAUUGCGAAUUCUUGAACCCCCUUUACCACUAAACCAAGCCCUUAGCUUAUGUUCAGGGGUUCAUCACUUGGUAUAUACAUAUAAAUAAAAAAAUUGACCCUAUAUAUACCAUGUAAUUUUUCCAACGAAGGGGGUUCGGAUGAACCCCUUGGAUCCAUGUAGAUCCGCCCCUGCCCAUAGGACUCAAUUAUUUUUAAGAAGUAUUAAUUUUCAAAUUAAAAAUGUCUCUCCAAAUACAAAUAGCCUUUUACAUAUAAACAGACCUUUGCCUCACUCAUUGCUUCUUUUCUUUUUUCUAUGACCACUAUCAUCACUCAUUGCUUCCUCUUCAUACACCAGCCGAAUUCCCCAGCAUACUUCUUUCUCCAGCCCGUACAUGUGAGAAAACUCCAACAUGUAAUAAUCAUUUGGAUUCUUCCCUUCUUUAUUGCCAGAAGCAUUCCACAAUGUUUCAAAUGGUAUGUACCAGCAAUAAAUGAAAGGAUCAUUGGAAAAAGACCCACUCACCCCAUACUUCAAGGAAUAUUUUCUUUCAGGGUCAGAUUUGCAGACCAAUGUAGCUUCUAAUCUUAUGUACUUUGUAGUAGGACCGUAGGUUAUCCAAAAACCCAUGAAUUUAUUGGUAUACCAAGAUGGGUUCAGAUCAAUUGACAUCUUUUCUUGAUUUAUAAAUGGACAAUCAUAAUCGAACAACUCUGAAAUUCUGACUCUGGGAAAAGUAAUGAGAAAAUAAUCCCUUUGAUGGAAGUCACACUGCAUGCAAUAGAAUAGAGAUUAUUAUUACUACUACUAGAAAUCAAUUUGACGAGAAUAAUAUUCAACAUUCAUAUAUGAGAUAAAAACCUGGAUGCAUGUCCUGAGAAAAUGAUGUAGGAACACAUUAACUUGUUCACUUGAGACGGCUCCACAGUUGGAUAUUACGAGCCUACACAGCCUAAGACAAUUAAUUACGAGAUCUCUGAUGCUCUUCAAGGCUAAAUGAUAAUCUGCUAAUAGCUCCCUUAAAUUUGGGGGUAGCUCUCCUGGCAGUUCAUUAAGAUUCUGACAGAAGUGUAUGUUCAGACUCCGAAGGUGUAAGAGUCCUUUAAGGCUUUUUGGUAAACAAGAAAUAUUGCUUCCACUUAAACUCAAAUAUUUCAAAGUGUGCAAAGAUCCUAAAUCCUCAAAAAGUCCACUCAAGCCUAAAAUUAUCAGUUUCCCAAGCUUGGUGAUGGAGGGAGGUGGUUGGUAUAUUGCAGUUUCGCUCACAUCAAGCUUACAUAACUCUUGCAAAUCACCCAUGUUUUCUGGAAGCUUUUCUAGCUUUUUGCACCCGUUGAGUAAAAGAUAUUGAAGAUUCAUCAAAUUACAGAGGCUGUCUGGUAGACUUACAAGAUCUUCACAACGUUUCAGACAUAGCUCAGUGAGGCCGCUCAGAUUCCCAAUGGAUGAAGGCACUUCUCUUAUCCCAGUAGACUUCAGACUCAGUCGUGUCAAGCAAUGCAUAUCUCCGUUGAUUUCUGGAAAUGUAUCUAAUUUUGGGUAUUUAGAUAUCGAGAGAUCUAGAAGGGAUUCCAUCUGAAUAGAGCUUGGAAGCUUCUUUAAGUUCUCACAUCUCUCUAUUAUUAACAAACGGAGAUUCUUUUGAACUUCAAGAGAUAUGGGGAGCUUUACCAAUCCAGAACAUCCGUAUAUACAAAGAACUUUCAAUAGCUGUGAUUCGAAGAGGCUGUUUGGCAGUGUUGCAAGUUUAUUGCAACCUGAAAUUCUGAGAUCACUAAGAUUUCGAAUAGUGUCUGGAAUACAUUCAAGAAUUUCACAAUCACCCAAAUGCAACUCUCUAAGGCUGCUGAGAGACGGGGGUAAGCUUCUUAUCCAGGGGGAUCCUAGAGAGAGUUUUGAUAAGCGCCGCAUAUUUCCACAGAUUUCUGGAAAUUCUUCUAACCUUGUGCAUUCCCUGAGAUUGAGAUCCUCAAGAGAAUCCAUGCAGACAAAUUUUGGAAGCUUCUUAAGUUUGCGACAACCAUACAAACUCAAAUAAGUAAGCAUUUUGCAAUGUCCAAUAGAGGGAUGGACCUCUUCCAAAUUCACACACCCCUCUAAAUGUAGCUUCUCCAAGUUUGGUAUACCACCAAAAUUAGGGGUUUUUGUGAACUCACAGCUAUCCCUGAGAUCCAAAUGCUUCAAAUUGCUCAAUUUCUGUAUUCAUUUAAAAAAAAAACGAAAAACUAGUUAACUAAAGUAGUACUCCUAAUAGAAAUAUUUUAUGGGAAAAAAAAUAAAGAGAAGAGAAGGUUGUUAUGAUCAUUGAAGGCAGUAGAAAACGUGGAAAAGAGGGAGUCCCAUGUAAUUCUAUCAACCAAAGCUAGAACAGAUUAAAACAGAUGGAAAGAAAUCACCUAGGAGUCGUUUGGUAGAGUGUAUAAAAACAAUGCUCAAUAGAGUCUAUUAGUAAUACUUGCAUUAGUUAUGUAUAGAUUAUUUCUCAUGCAUUGUUUAGUUUGGUGUAUUAAAAAUUGUAUGCAUUGUAUAAAAAUAUUUAUGUACAAAAAUAUCCUCCACAAUUAUGGUGGAAAAGAUGUAAAAAUGCUUUUGAGGGGUAAUUGGGUCUAUGCUAAUACAUGUAUUAAAUUCAUUUGCAUUACUAAUACCUAGAAAUCCAUGGUAUUAGUAAUACACUCCACUAAUAUAGGGAUUUGAACCUGAGAUCUCAUAGUGCUCAAUCCACUUCUUUGACACCUAGUACACAUCCUUGGGUGCGCUUGCAAGUUCUUUAUUAGGUAGAUAUAAUUGCAGGAAGUAAAUUACUAUACAAUUAUAAAUCCAAAGAUUCAAAAAUAUUUACAUCAUGACUGUGAUGAAGUACUUCAUUUAUAUCGUGAAUGUCAACAAAGUUAGGUUCCGCCUAAAUAUGUUGAAGAUUUAAUUGGGAAAAGAAAGGUGAUGAAAAGAGAGAGGGAGAGAUUAUAUAUUUGAUUUUUGUGAUGAAGUUUGUACUUGUAAGAACAAUAUUUGAACUUUCAAGUGAGUGAUUACCAAAAAAAAAGAUUAAAAAAUUGGUGUUAAUUGUGUAUAACAGUACAUUUAUUUAAAGUAGCAUUUAAAUCGUGGACGGAUUAAUUUACGUGCAUUGACCUAUCAAAACAUUUAUUUCAAGCUCAUGAUUACGUUGAUUAAAAUUAGAAAAAGUAAAUUACAUGAAAGCGAGUUUAUAUACAUGAUGUUCUAUAAUUACAACUAUUUGUUCAGAUUUAUUAUUACAUUAUUCUGUACAAGAACUUUGCAACAAAUCUAGUUGAUGUAUAAUAUUUGAAAAUUUAAAACCAAAAUAGUAGAGUUAAUUGAUUUUAAUCCCUCGAAGGAGAAAACUUUGGUUCAAGCCGAUCCUAAUAGUAAUAUACAAUCAGUUAGCACACCAAUUGGAGUAUGUAGCAUGCGGACCGAAAAAGAUGGUAAUGUUAUGAGUCCUACAAUAGCUAAGGCUAUUCAAGAAAGUCAGGCUGCCAUGUUACUCAAACCCAAUUUAGCGAUCAAGCCACCCAUGGUCACAUUGAGCAUCUCAGCUCAUGAGGUCACUUCCCAAAAUUUGGAUUCACCUGAUGAACAUCAAGGUGAAUUUGGACAGCUCUUAUCAUCCACGGGAAAUGAUAAAGUUUUGGUGAAAGGUAUGUCACCACUCUGUCAAGCUAAUUUUACAAAUGAUUUGUUAAUUUCGAAAGAAAAACAACAAGGGGAGAUGAGUACUCCUAGGUGGGCUGAUUUUGGUUGAUGAAGAGAGCAUGUUUCACUCCUCUUUUGAAUAGAAAAUUAAGUCCACAAGCUCAAGAAUUUGUACCUAAAAGUACAAUUGCAAAGAAGAAUGAACAAGAGGCCUUAGCAUCAUGAUUUAGUCCAAUUAAUGCUUAUGCUAGUGAUUUGGGUGAUGAUUCUUUUGAUGAGGAUGAGGAAGAUAAUAUGUUGGACAUAUGCUUUGAUAAAGUGGCUAGAGAUGGGGAUAUCUCACCUAGGCAUCAAAGAAGUGGAAGCAACAAAAACAAAAAGAAGACACAUGGAAGACAACACAGAUGGGAUGGUAAUUUGACAGCGGAGUUUGUUCCAAGGCCCCUGCCGAUGCGACUGGCAAAGCAAAAUCAUAUGAUAGUGUCAAUAGCUUCAACAAGAUCCCAUACAUUCAAAAAGAAAUGAUGAAGUAUCAAAUUUUGUUGGACAUAUUUGAAGAAGACAAGAGGAAAAUACUUUAGGUUACUUUAGAUGGGCUAUCUAUCAUUGUUAAUUCACACAUUUGUAAAAAUAAGUUUGAGGUUGAUAACUCAACUUUCUUCUUGAAUUUUAUAUUUGUGCAUUAUUUAAGCAUUCUCAUUUGUAAUAUCAUCAUAGAGUGUAUUACGAAUUCUGUUAUGAUUAUAGAAUAUCUAGUUCUCUCUAGCUUUUAUUUUCUUCAUGCUUGUUAAUUAGUAGAGGUUCGUUACCUCAUAGGAUUUGACAAGGUAAGGCCUAGCCCCCCUUGCUUGUACUUAUUUUUUGUUGAGGAUUUUUGUUUUUAAUAAAAAAACUGCUAGACGCUCUGUCUAGUGGUAUUAAAAAUAAAUCAAUUUUGAACUAUAAAAAAUAAAGGGAAAAUGCAUAAGUACCCGCCAGCCUAUACCCGAAAUCCCAAAGACACACCUAACCUUUACUAAGGUCCUAUUACCCCCCCCCCCCCNNNNNNNNNNNNNNNNNNNNNNNNNNNNNNNNNNNNNNNNNNNNNNNNNNNNNNNNNNNNNNNNNNNNNNNNNNNNNNNNNNNNNNNNNNNNNNNNNNNNNNNNNNNNNNNNNNNNNNNNNNNNNNNNNNNNNNNNNNNNNNNNNNNNNNNNNNNNNNNNNNNNNNNNNNNNNNNNNNNNNNNNNNNNNNNNNNNNNNNNNNNNNNNNNNNNNNNNNNNNNNNNNNNNNNNNNNNNNNNNNNNUUCGGGCAUAGGCUGGGGGGGUACUUAUGCAUUUUCCCAAAAAUAAAUAAAAAAUACUUCAUUUAAGUUAUCUAUAGCCCAUUCCUAUAGAAAACAAAUACAGUUAUCCUACGUGGCACUAUCCUUGAAAAAAUUGUCAACACGCGCUGGGCCCACAAGAUAGUGCCACGUAGGCCGAAAAGGGGUAGAAAAUUAUAUAUAAAAUAAGUUCAGGGGGGUAAUAGGACCUUAGUAAAGGUUAGGUGUGUCUCAGAGAUUUGGGGCAUAGGCUGGGGGGGUACUGAUGCAUUUUCCCUAUAUUUAAAGCAAUUUCACCUUUGAAGGUUCAUAUAACAAAAAUAUAAAUAUUUAGUUAAGAUGAAUUACAGAAACAAGUAUAUAGCCAGCUGUCUAAUAAUUGUAAGAGAGUGUUACCUUUGAUAUUGGCCAAAGUUCAACAAGCCUACUUUCAGGUAAACAAAGCACAACGAGCUGUGAUGGUUCAAAGCUCUCUGGCAAUGAAAUUGAAGGAUACCCUAUCCAAUCAAUAAACCGCAGGCUGGAAGGAAGAUAAGUGACAGCGCAGUUUGAGUUAAAAGAUCCACCACCAACUAUGGGUAUUUUUAAGCUUUGCAUCCUCUUGAAAAUAUUGCUAUAAUCGACAAGAUCAUCUUCAAAAUAGUAAUCUUUAGGGAUACAUAGGCUUUCCACCUUUUCUGUUAUCUGUAUAGAAUGAAGCACAUAUUUAAUAGCUAACAAAUAAAAAUGAAACAAAAAGAUUAAUAGAACUACGAGCUUCCAAAAUUAUUAAUUACGUUAAAUAUUGCUUACCAACUUCCCUUUAAAAAGGUCACAAACUUCCUCGGGAAGCCAUAUUCUACUGUUAGCGUACUCUUCCCGUAUGACAUUUUCUCCCAUUUUUCUUAUCAUAUUAUGCAUCACAAUACUAUUAUUCAGGUCGAUUGAUAAUAGAGAUUUUUCGAUAAGGUAAUCUAUUAGAAAACCACGACUCAUAUAUCUCCGUACUAGUUCCACACAAAGAUGAAAAUCAUAUCUAGUCAAACAUGCAAUAUCUAGAAAUGCAAUAUCUAGAAAUAAUUCCUUCUCAUCUUUGUCCAGACCAUCAAAACUAAGCCUAAGCUUUCCUAGAAUAUCCUUGUCAGGAUUCUCUUCAGCCGAUCAAUUAUGUGUCUCCAGUGCUUUUUAUCUCGUCCAUAAAAUAAAUAACCCAAAACUUUAAGAGCUAAAGGGAGUCCACCAGCAUGCUUCACCACUUGUCAUGAAAGUUCUAUAAAAUCUUCUUUUGGUGUCACUUGCCUUGAAAGUUCCAAAAAUCCUUCUUUUGGUGAUUUUUCUCUAAAAGCAAGCCUACUGAACAAUUCAAGUGCUUCAUUCUCAGAUAAUAGUUGGACUUCAUACACAUUAUCCCCGACGUGACUGAUUAACAGGUGCUUGUCUCUUGCUGUUAAAAUAAUUCUGCUACCCCUACCAAACCACUCUGGCUCUCCAACCAAAAAUUCCAACUGUUCUUGAUGGUUUACGUCAUCGAUGGUGAACAGAACUUUCUUCCAGCGAAGCAUAUUCUUUAAAAUAUUCAUCCCUUCAUGCUCGCUAGUUAGAGUCAAUUUUUCACCCCAGAGCUUGCAAAUGACGACUUGUUGUAGCCAUGUUAGUCCAUUUUUUCUGGUGAAGUUUUCCAAC
This 16380-nucleotide long non-coding RNA is filed under the name Solanum tuberosum (potato). RNAcentral's name for it is "long non-coding RNA (STUB_LNC011915)". The record is from RNAcentral. Lineage: Eukaryota; Viridiplantae; Streptophyta; Magnoliopsida; Solanales; Solanaceae.